AUUGAACGCUGGCGGCAGGCCUAACACAUGCAAGUCGAACGGUAACAGGAAGAAGCUUGCUUCUUUGCUGACGAGUGGCGGACGGGUGAGUAAUGUCUGGGAAACUGCCUGAUGGAGGGGGAUAACUACUGGAAACGGUAGCUAAUACCGCAUAACGUCGCAAGACCAAAGAGGGGGACCUUCGGGCCUCUUGCCAUCGGAUGUGCCCAGAUGGGAUUAGCUAGUAGGUGGGGUAACGGCUCACCUAGGCGACGAUCCCUAGCUGGUCUGAGAGGAUGACCAGCCGAACUGGAACUGGGCCGCGGUCCAGACUCCCACGGGGGGCAGCAGUGGGGAAUAUUGCACAAUGGGCGCAAGCCUGAUGCAGCCAUGCCGCGUGUAUGAAGAAGGCCUUCGGGUUGUAAAGUACUUUCAGCGGGGAGGAAGGGAGUAAAGUUAAUACCUUUGCUCAUUGACGUUACCCGCAGAAGAAGCACCGGCUAACUCCGUGCCAGCAGCCGCCGUAA
This 506-nucleotide ribosomal RNA is filed under the name uncultured bacterium. Its description in RNAcentral is "partial 16S ribosomal RNA". It matches the Rfam family "Bacterial small subunit ribosomal RNA", at positions 30 to 523 of the family's 1533-position model. The record is from RNAcentral.